UGCUAGUGGUAAUGAAGCGAAAGCUAAGUGACCGCAACGGAGGCUAGCACAGGUGCUGCAUGGCUGUCGUCAGCUCGUGUCGUGAGAUGUUCGGUUAAGUCCGCUAACGAGCGCAACCCUCGCUGUGUGUUACAAGUGUCACACAGGACCGCCGGUCUUAAGCCGGAGGAAGGUGGGGAUGACGUCAAGUCAGCAUGGCCUUUAUGUCCAGGGCUACACACACGCUACAAUGGUCAGCACAAUAGGUAGCCAAGCCGCGAGGUGGAGCCAAUCCUCAAAGCUGGCCUCAGUUCAGAUCGCAGGCUGCAACCCGCCUGCGUGAAGCCGGAGUUGCUAGUAACCGCAGGUCAGCUAUACUGCGGUGAAUACGUUCCCGGGGCUU
Molecule: ribosomal RNA, 382 nt
Filed under: uncultured Fastidiosipila sp.
Lineage: Bacteria; Bacillati; Bacillota; Clostridia; Eubacteriales; Oscillospiraceae
Description: bacterial SSU rRNA
Rfam family: Bacterial small subunit ribosomal RNA
Source: RNAcentral